GACUUAAGCCAAUCUACCGUGUACCACGGAACAGAAGCUUUAGAUGAAGCUUCAUCUCAAGCCAUGGAGCAUAUUUUAGUAUGCGCCAUGCUAAAAACACAGGGUGUUACAGCAUUUCUUCAACCUGAACUUGAGGAGUUGGAAGGAGCUGAGUUGGAGGAAUAACUUCUACAACCUGUAGUCCAAUCUCAGGUUCAAAUCAAGGACAUGCAUGGAAGGCAUUGCUUGAUGCAGCUGGAGUGAUUAAAGAUUAACCAACUGAUGAAAACUUAAGGGAUUGAAUGGUUGGCUCCGUUGGUGUUUCUGCAGCAACUUGAGUUGGUGGAAGAACAAGAGGGCUUGUACGGUUAUACCCUUGAAAUCACACUCAAGAAAGAGGUUUUACCAUUAAUUGGCAGCCAUUAUGUCCCUUAGCAGCUGCAAGUUUUGUGUAAGUUUCUAUGUAGUUUCUUCUUAUAGUGAUUUUAAGUGAGAAUGAACUGAACUUAGGAACUUAGUAGGUUUCUAUGACUUCCCUCAUAAUUUGAUAUUUAAUAGAUUUGUUUUGGUACUUGAAAA
This is a long non-coding RNA of Papaver somniferum (opium poppy), 558 nucleotides long. RefSeq lists it as uncharacterized. NCBI's taxonomy places the organism in Eukaryota, Viridiplantae, Streptophyta, Magnoliopsida, Ranunculales, Papaveraceae. The transcript is spliced from 2 exons. The record is from RefSeq and is a predicted model, not a curated record.